UGUCAAAUAUAUAUAGGAAGAAUGGGAAGGGGAUGAAGCAUGGGAGUUUGAGAUCAAAAGCAUCAUUGAGUGCAGCGUUGAUGAAACUCUGCAUCCUGUUGGGCGAUCCAUCGCACCAAAGGUUUGAGGAAUUCACCAGCACUGCACUCAAUCAUGUCUUUGAUAUCCCAAUCAGAAAGAAAGAUAAAUAGCUUUCUUUUGAGAGGCAAUGAUUAAUUUUGUUCGUGAAAUCUCCUCUCUUGGAUUGGAGCUGGUUUUACGAUUUUGGAUCGAUCAGUGAGCGCACCGAAACGCCAUCAUGAGAGAUCAAAUUCUCUGAAGAAAAUGAUGGAAAUGCAUCCAAUUUCUACAAAUGAUACCUUGAUGUCAAGCUUUCUGAUGUUAAUGAUGAAACAAUAGAUCCUUGUACAAGACUUUAGCAACACAAGUUAUUGUGGCUACAUGCAAGUUGGCCUAUUGAAAAGCAGAUGCCAAGUUCUUGCAAUGCCAGCUCUUUACAUAAUUGGGAAGAACAAUAGCUUCUUAUGACCUGUACCAUUUCAUUAUUCAGUUGCACCAGAGAAUGAAAUGCUGACUUCUUAAA
Phoenix dactylifera (date palm) is the source of this 583-nucleotide non-coding RNA. NCBI's taxonomy places the organism in Eukaryota, Viridiplantae, Streptophyta, Magnoliopsida, Arecales, Arecaceae. The record is from RefSeq and is a predicted model, not a curated record.